UACGGAGGGGGCUAGCGUUAUUCGGAAUUAUUGGGCGUAAAGGGCGUGUAGGCGGCUUCGUGUGUCCCAUGUGAAAGCCCUCGGCUCAACCGGGGAACUGCAUGGGAAACUGCGGAGCUUGAGUCCGGGAGAGGUGAGUGGAAUUCCCAGUGUAGCGGUGAAAUGCGUAGAUAUUGGGAGGAACACCUGAGGUGAAGACGGGUUGCUAGGCUGACACUGACGCUGAGGCGCGAAAGCUAGGGGAGCAAACGGG
This 253-nucleotide ribosomal RNA is filed under the name uncultured bacterium. RNAcentral describes it as "partial 16S ribosomal RNA". It matches the Rfam family "Bacterial small subunit ribosomal RNA", at positions 524 to 776 of the family's 1533-position model. The record is from RNAcentral.